RNAcentral lists this ribosomal RNA (440 nucleotides) under Actinobaculum sp. oral taxon 183. Its description in RNAcentral is "bacterial SSU rRNA". It matches the Rfam family "Bacterial small subunit ribosomal RNA", at positions 28 to 462 of the family's 1533-position model. The record is from RNAcentral. Lineage: Bacteria; Bacillati; Actinomycetota; Actinomycetes; Actinomycetales; Actinomycetaceae.
GACGAACGCUGGCGGCGUGCUUAACACAUGCAAGUCGAACGGGCUCUGUCUGGCUGUGCGCUGGGUGGGGUUAGUGGCGAACGGGUGAGUAAUACGUGAGUAACCUGCCCUCUUCUUUGGGAUAAGCCUUGGAAACGGGGUCUAAUACUGGAUAUUCCUGUCUGGUCGCAUGGCUGGGUGGGGAAAGUUUUUUCGGUGGGGGAUGGGCUCGCGGCCUAUCAGCUUGUUGGUGGGGUGAUGGCCUACCAAGGCGUCGACGGGUAGCCGGCCUGAGAGGGUGACCGGCCACACUGGGACUGAGAUACGGCCCAGACUCCUACGGGAGGCAGCAGUGGGGGAUAUUGCACAAUGGGCGCAAGCCUGAUGCAGCGACGCCGCGUGGGGGAUGACGGCUUUCGGGUUGUAAACCUCUUUCGUCGGGGGACAAGGCUCUGCUUGGU